Long non-coding RNA from Lingula anatina, 808 nucleotides. RefSeq lists it as uncharacterized. The record is from RefSeq and is a predicted model, not a curated record. Lineage: Eukaryota; Metazoa; Brachiopoda; Lingulata; Lingulida; Lingulidae.
AGGGGUGUGUCCAUUUGCCUAACCUAUAAAAAGAUUAACUGGAAAGAUAGAAUGACAGUAGAGCAAACCCUUGGAAGAGACAAGGUCAAGAAUCACUUCGACUGAACCUCUAGCCGACGACCAUGAAGAAGUGGCAAGUAUUUGCAGUCCUCAUGACGGCCCUUCUCCUCGUGCAGAUGUUUGCUGUUACAGAAGGGUUUGCGCGUCGUCGGCGGAGGGCUGUUCAAAUCUCGGAUAAUGCUGAUGGUGGCAAAGAAAAGUCUCAGAAUGAUGCCCGAUAUUUAGAGCGAUUAUUGGAGGAGGAGGAGGACCUUGCGGAAUUCGAGUAAAAUACCUUCAUGUGGAGUCACAGGAUUAGCUAGCCAAUGACACAGAAUAUUAGUUAAAGUAUGAAGUCUCUAGUAAAACGGAUUAAUGCACGGCUUGAACUGUAAUAAUUUACAUUUGCACGUGACACAAAUAAGGAACAUCAAACCGAUAGAAAAUUGCCCACAAUGUAUGCAGUGACAUGCUGGUAUUUGCAAACUAAUUCGAGUUGAGAAGGCUAUUUGACUGAUAUCAACGUCCACCAUAUAGGUUUAGCUAUUCUGUUCUAGAGACCACCUGAACGAUGACAUUAACUUUACUACAUAAAGAAUACUCGCUGUACACGCAGUACAGAAAAGUGUACGGAAUUAACCGGAGACAUAUCUGUCAGUGUGAAAAUCAAGUGAUGAUCAAUCUUUGGCCCUCUUAGAGGGUAAGUUAAAACCCUACUGCUAUACUAGACUUUUUAUUAAAAAUUCAAAAAAUAAAUAUUCUUAAAAAC